Schizosaccharomyces pombe (fission yeast) is the source of this 1245-nucleotide non-coding RNA. The record is from the annotation of a GenBank genome assembly. NCBI's taxonomy places the organism in Eukaryota, Fungi, Ascomycota, Schizosaccharomycetes, Schizosaccharomycetales, Schizosaccharomycetaceae.
AAAAAAUUUUGCAUCACUGUCAACCAUACCGAUUUUUCCAGAAAAACAAGAUGCAAUCAACUCUUCAAUUCAUAUUGUAUAUAACAAACUUCCUCCUCCGAUUCACAAGCUUACAAUGCGUAUUUACAUAAUCUACACAAGACUAAAUAGUUACAUACCUUUGGUGGCUUGAAUGGGUAGUCCGUAGGGAAAUGAAUGGACAAGAAGAAGACACCACCCGCAUAAGGGCUGUCAGCCUAUAUAUCAUGUUAGCUGCACAAUCCUAGCAAGCAAAAUUUUGGCAGUGCGCAAGGCACUAUUACAGCCGCGACUUACAGGACCCAUGAUUGUAGCUUGCCAAUGGAAUAAAUCAUCGCCAACAGGGCCGGCGGAACAAGAAGACGGUGGGUCUUUUCCAAGAUCAGCUAAUUCACGGUUAAUUCUUUUCAAAGCCAUCGUUACUGGUUUGCUUUUGCGAUUUUACAAAGUCAGUAGUUUGCUCGUGGAAGAACGUGGACGGAGGUAGAAAUAACAUAUAACCGAUGGAUGCACUAAAUCACACGAGUUCGACUUUGUCUGAGUAAGCAAUUUUUCAGGAUGGCGCAACUUGCUUUGUACCUGCAAAAUACCCGCUAAACAGUUUGUUAUCCUUUUAAGGAUACGCUACGUUACGAUAAAUUUUUUCGGGAUCCAGCAUACUAUUGUAUUACAAAUAGGGCAAAAUUAAAGAGAAUUACAGAUAUUAUAUUAUGGGGGCGGUAUUAUAACGAUUUAUCAAUAAAAGAGCUUGUAAGUGAACUGAAGAACGAGGAUCAGUUUAACUGACGACAUGAUGGCUAACUCAGAAACUAUUUUACUUGUGAAAUACAAUAUAGACUAUAUCAGUAUCUUCCCGUAUUUAGCGAAUAGAGAAACCGGACAGGCGAUAUUUGAUGAUAUGCGCCGUAGCGACCACAGCAGAAUACACCAUUGCUCAAAAUAUCGACAAAAUUGUUAAAUUACUAUAACGUAAAAAAUGAGCUUGCCGUUCCACUUUAAAUAUAUAGUGUUGAUCAUAUCUACUAACUUAGCUAAAAUUGACAAAGUGGUAAUGGGAGAGACUAAUGUAUAGCUUUGGUUUUAUAAAGUGUUACUUAAGUCACGUUAGAAAACUAGCUUAUAUCCACUGUGGUUAUUAUUUUCUGCCGGAAGCCAUUUUAUAGCAUUGCUUUAUUUGCUCUAGUUAUGCAUAACAAAAAAUAAAUUUGCACAAAAAUUUUUUGCCCA